Molecule: ribosomal RNA, 253 nt
Filed under: uncultured bacterium
Lineage: Bacteria
Description: partial 16S ribosomal RNA
Rfam family: Bacterial small subunit ribosomal RNA
Source: RNAcentral
UACAGAGGGGGCAAGCGUUAUUCGGAAUUAUUGGGCGUAAAGGGCGCGUAGGCGGCUUUGCAAGUGACGGGUGAAAGCCCUCGGCUUAACCGAGGAACUGCCUGUCAGACUGUGAGGCUUGAGACCGGGAGAGGUGAGUGGAAUUCCCAGUGUAGCGGUGAAAUGCGUAGAUAUUGGGAGGAACACCAGUGGCGAAGGCGGCUCACUGGACCGGAACUGACGCUGAGGCGCGAAAGCGUGGGGAGCAAACCGG